ACAACAUUCGGACCGUCGGUCUACCGAGCAAUAUUCACACGCUCGGUGGAAGAUCUUCCAUUCACCGU
This 68-nucleotide microRNA precursor is filed under the name Bombyx mori (domestic silkworm). RNAcentral's name for it is "mir-2774 microRNA precursor family". It matches the Rfam family "mir-2774 microRNA precursor family". Lineage: Eukaryota; Metazoa; Arthropoda; Insecta; Lepidoptera; Bombycidae. The record is from Rfam by way of RNAcentral.